ACGCCCGCUCAAGAACUCGAAGAAUGACGGGGCCCGCACAAGCGGAGGAGCAUGUGGUUAAUUCGAUGAUACGCGAGGAACCUUACCUGGGCUCGAACGUAAGAUGACUGUAGGUGAAAGCUUACAUCUCUUCGGAGCAUUUUACGAGGUGCUGCAUGGUUGUCGUCAGCUCGUGCCGUGAGGUGUCGGGUUAAGUCCCAUAACGAGCGCAACCCCUACCUUUAGUUGCCAUCAGGUUAAGCUGGGGACUCUAAAGGAACUGCCUACGCAAGUAGUGAGGAAGGCGGGGAUGACGUCAAAUCAGCACGGCCCUUACGUCCAGGGCUACACACGUGCUACAAUGGCCGAUACAGAGGGCAGCUACCUGGUGACAGGAUGCAAAUCUCCAAAGUCGGUCUCAGUUCGGAUCGGAGUCUGCAACCCGACUCCGUGAAGUUGGAUUCGCUAGUAAUCGCGCAUCAGCCAUGGCGCGGUGAAUACGUUCCCGGGCCUU
RNAcentral lists this ribosomal RNA (493 nucleotides) under uncultured Sphingobacteriales bacterium. RNAcentral describes it as "bacterial SSU rRNA". It matches the Rfam family "Bacterial small subunit ribosomal RNA", at positions 909 to 1382 of the family's 1533-position model. Lineage: Bacteria; Pseudomonadati; Bacteroidota; Sphingobacteriia; Sphingobacteriales. The record is from RNAcentral.